RNAcentral lists this ribosomal RNA (433 nucleotides) under uncultured bacterium. RNAcentral's name for it is "partial 16S ribosomal RNA". It matches the Rfam family "Bacterial small subunit ribosomal RNA", at positions 29 to 507 of the family's 1533-position model. The record is from RNAcentral.
AACGAACGCUGGCGGCAUGCCUAACACAUGCAAGUCGAACGAAGGCUUCGGCCUUAGUGGCGCACGGGUGCGUAACGCGUGGGAAUCUGCCCUUUGGUUCGGAAUAACAGCUGGAAACGGCUGCUAAUACCGGAUGAUGACGAAAGUCCAAAGAUUUAUCGCCAGAGGAUGAGCCCGCGUUGGAUUAGGUAGUUGGUGGGGUAAAGGCCUACCAAGCCGACGAUCCAUAGCUGGUCAGAGAGGAUGAGCAGCCACACUGGGACUGAGACACGGCCCAGACUCCUACGGGAGGCAGCAGUGGGGAAUCUUGGAGCAUGGGCGCAAGGCUGAUCAAGACAUGCCGCGUGAGUGAUGCAGGCCCUGGGGUUGUAAAGCCCUUUUAGCCGGGAAGAUAAUGACUGUACCGGGAGAAUAAGCCCCGGCUAACUACGUG